GACGAACGCUGGCGGCGUGCCUAAUACAUGCAAGUAGAACGCUGAAGGAGGAGCUUGCUUCUCUGGAUGAGUUGCGAACGGGUGAGUAACGCGUAGGUAACCUGCCUGGUAGCGGGGGAUAACUAUUGGAAACGAUAGCUAAUACCGCAUAAGAGUAGAUGUUGCAUGACAUUUGCUUAAAAGGUGCAAUUGCAUCACUACCAGAUGGACCUGCGUUGUAUUAGCUAGUUGGUGGGGUAACGGCUCACCAAGGCGACGAUACAUAGCCGACCUGAGAGGGUGAUCGGCCACACUGGGACUGGGACACGGCCCAGACUCCUACGGGAGGCAGCAGUAGGGAAUCUUCGGCAAUGGACGGAAGUCUGACCGAGCAACGCCGCGUGAGUGAAGAAGGUUUUCGGAUCGUAAAGCUCUGUUGUAAGAGAAGAACGAGUGUGAGAGUGGAAAGUUCACACUGUGACGGUAUCUUAACAGAAAGGGACGGCUAACUACGUG
RNAcentral lists this ribosomal RNA (495 nucleotides) under uncultured bacterium. RNAcentral describes it as "partial 16S ribosomal RNA". It matches the Rfam family "Bacterial small subunit ribosomal RNA", at positions 28 to 507 of the family's 1533-position model. The record is from RNAcentral.